Molecule: ribosomal RNA, 312 nt
Filed under: Triticum aestivum (bread wheat)
Lineage: Eukaryota; Viridiplantae; Streptophyta; Magnoliopsida; Poales; Poaceae
Description: partial small subunit ribosomal RNA
Source: RNAcentral
AUGAAGGGUAAAGGAGGUGGGAGAUCCAUAUCGCUAGCUUCAUCCAAUGUCAAAUCCAUGUACCAGGCAAGCGGCCAAGAAUGCCUUCUCCCUGCCCGGCUAGAAGUUGGAUCCUUCCAAGAGGGAACCUCUCAGGAUUUUCUACGAGUCACUGUCCAAAAAGUACAUAUAUGUUUUCAUUCAUCUGAUUUUUUUUUUAAAUUUGACAGAGGGAACCUCUCAGAAUUUUCUACGAGUCACUGCCCAAAAAGAUCCAAUCCAGUGAGAUGGCCGACUUCAGGGGGGUGGGAAGCAAUAUUGGAGGCGGUCUGA